GUUGACCUCGGAUCGGGUAGGGAUACCCGCUGAACUUAAGCAUAUCAAUAAGCGGAGGAAAAGAAACCAACAGGGAUUGCCCUAGUAACGGCGAGUGAAGCGGCAACAGCUCAAAUUUGAAAUCUGGCGCAAGCCCGAGUUGUAAUUUGUAGAGGAUGCUUCUAGGCAGCGGCCGGUCUAAGUCUCUUGGAACAGGGCGUCAUAGAGGGUGAGAAUCCCGUAUGUGACCGGCUGGCACCUUACACGUAGCUCCUUCGACGAGUCGAGUUGUUUGGGAAUGCAGCUCUAAAUGGGAGGUAAAUUUCUUCUAAAGCUAAAUACCGGCCAGAGACCGAUAGCGCACAAGUAGAGUGAUCGAAAGAUGAAAAGCACUUUGGAAAGAGAGUUAAAAAGCACGUGAAAUUGUUGAAAGGGAAGCGCUUGCAACCAGACUUGCUGGCGGUGUUCCGCCGGUCUUCUGACCGGUCUACUCACCGCCUGCAGGCCAGCGUCGUCUGGGGCCGCCGGAUAAAGGCUUCGGGAAUGUAGCUCCUCUCGGGGAGUGUUAUAGCCCGUUGCACAAUACGGCGCGCGCCGGGCGAGGUCCGCGCUUCGGCAAGGACGCUGGCGUAAUGGUCGUAAGCGGCCCGUCUUGAAACACGGACCAAGGAGUCGAUCAAUUGUGCGAGUGUUCGGGUGAAAAACCCUUGCGCGUAAUGAAAGUGAACGGAGGCGAGAACCCUUCACGGGCGCAUCGUCGACCGAUCCUGAUGUCUUCGGAUGGAUUUGAGUAAGAGCAUAGCUGAUCGGACCCGAAAGAUGGUGAACUAUGCCUAAAUAGAAUGAAACCAGGGGAAACCCUGGCGGAAGUUCGCAGCGGUUCUGACGUGCAAAUCGAUCGUCAAAUUUGGGUAUAGGGGCGAAAGACUAAUCGA
This 914-nucleotide ribosomal RNA is filed under the name Paradevriesia americana. Its description in RNAcentral is "eukaryotic LSU rRNA". It matches the Rfam family "Eukaryotic large subunit ribosomal RNA", at positions 1 to 938 of the family's 3401-position model. The record is from RNAcentral. Lineage: Eukaryota; Fungi; Ascomycota; Dothideomycetes; Capnodiales; Paradevriesiaceae.